GACAGAGGUCCCGAGCGUUAGGCGGAAUCACUGGGCUUAAAGCGUGUGUAGGCGGAGUGCUAAGUACCUUGUGAAAUCCCACGGCUCAACCGUGGAACUGCUUGGUAUACUGGUUCUCUUGAGCCACCUAGGGGCAACCGGAACAAACGGUGGAGCGGUGAAAUGCGUAGAUAUCGAGAGGAACACCUGCGGCGAAGGCGGGUUGCUGGGCCGACACUGACGCUGAUGCGCGAAAGCCAGGGGAGCGAACGGG
This 253-nucleotide ribosomal RNA is filed under the name uncultured bacterium. RNAcentral's name for it is "partial 16S ribosomal RNA". It matches the Rfam family "Bacterial small subunit ribosomal RNA", at positions 524 to 776 of the family's 1533-position model. The record is from RNAcentral.